This 497-nucleotide ribosomal RNA is filed under the name uncultured bacterium. Its description in RNAcentral is "partial 16S ribosomal RNA". It matches the Rfam family "Bacterial small subunit ribosomal RNA", at positions 28 to 507 of the family's 1533-position model. The record is from RNAcentral.
GAUGGACGCUGGCGGCGUGCCUAAUACAUGCCAGUCGAGCGAACGGACGAGAAGCUUGCUUCUCUGAUGUUAGCGGCGGACGGGUGAGUAACACGUGGAUAACCCACCUAUAAGACUGGGAUAACUUCGGGAAACCGGAGCUAAUACCGGACAAUAUUUUGAACCGCAUGGUUCAAAAGUGAAAGACGGUCUUGCUGUCACUUAUAGAUGGAUCCGCGCUGCAUUAGCUAGUUAGUAAGGUAACGGCUUACCAAGGCAACGAUGCAUAGCCGACCGGAGAGAGUGAUAGGCCACACUAGAACUGACACACGGUCCAGACUCCGACGGGAGGCAGCAAUAGGCAAUCUUCCGCAGUGGGCGAAAGCAUGACGGAGCAACGCCGCGUGAGUGAUGAAGGUCUUCGGAUCGUAAAACACUGUUAUUAGGGAAGAACAUAUGUGUAAGUAACUGUGCACAUCUUGACGGUACCUAAUCAGAAAGCCACGGCUAACUACGUG